GACGAACGCUGGCGGCGUGCUUAACACAUGCAAGUCGAACGGCAAGGCCCUGCUUUUUUGGGGUUCUCGAGUGGCGAACGGGUGAGUAACACGUGAGUAACCUGCCCUUGACUUUGGGAUAACUUCAGGAAACUGGGGCUAAUACCGUAUAGGAGCUCCUGCUGCAUGGUGGGGGUUGGAAAGUUUCGGCGGUUGGGGAUGGACUCGCGGCUUAUCAGCUUGUUGGUGGGGUAGUGGCUUACCAAGGCUUUGACGGGUAGCCGGCCUGAGAGGGUGACCGGCCACAUUGGGACUGAGAUACGGCCCAGACUCCUACGGGAGGCAGCAGUGGGGAAUAUUGCACAAUGGGCGGAAGCCUGAUGCAGCAACGCCGCGUGCGGGAUGACGGCCUUCGGGUUGUAAACCGCUUUCGCCUGUGACGAAGCGUGAGUGACGGUAAUGGGUAAAGAAGCACCGGCUAACUACGUG
This 468-nucleotide ribosomal RNA is filed under the name uncultured bacterium. RNAcentral describes it as "partial 16S ribosomal RNA". It matches the Rfam family "Bacterial small subunit ribosomal RNA", at positions 28 to 507 of the family's 1533-position model. The record is from RNAcentral.